ACAGGAGGUCUGCAGAGAGGAGAUCCGUGCUGAUCCGAAAUCUCAUGAUCAGAAGGGAGGCAAGCAGACGGUGAUACAGUUCCUACACACGUAUCUCAUGUACAUCCGUCUGAGCAAGACCAGCGAGAGAUACUUGCUGCUCGUAGACUCGCUGAAAGCCAGCCUCACAGCAGGGGGCGCCACCGACGGCAAGAAGGUCGCCAAGCCUCAGGAUCUUAUACGAUUGUACGACGUCAUUAUUCAG
Long non-coding RNA from Priapulus caudatus, 244 nucleotides. RefSeq lists it as uncharacterized. Lineage: Eukaryota; Metazoa; Priapulida; Priapulimorpha; Priapulimorphida; Priapulidae. The record is from RefSeq and is a predicted model, not a curated record. The transcript is spliced from 2 exons.